Molecule: ribosomal RNA, 262 nt
Filed under: uncultured Oscillospiraceae bacterium
Lineage: Bacteria; Bacillati; Bacillota; Clostridia; Eubacteriales; Oscillospiraceae
Description: partial 16S ribosomal RNA
Rfam family: Bacterial small subunit ribosomal RNA
Source: RNAcentral
ACGAUUUAGUGACUGAGUGGCGGACGGGUGAGUAACGCGUGGGUAACCUGCCUUUCAGAGGGGAACAACAGUUAGAAAUGACUGCUAAUACCGCAUAUGCCUUGAGUAUCACAUGGUACAAAAGGGAAAGGAGCAAUCCGCUGAUAGAUGGGCUUGCGUCUGAUUAGAUAGUUGGUGAGGUAACGGCCUACCAAGGCGAUGAUCAGUAGCCGGACUGAGAGGUUGACCGGCCACAUUGGGACUGAGAUACGGCCCAGACUCC